AGGGGCCCUGGAGAGCAGUUAGUUUAUGUGCACUGGGAUGUCCUGGGAAUCCUCCAUAGAGAUCUCUAUGAAACUUUCCUGGAGGUACUCU
This is a long non-coding RNA of Gopherus evgoodei (Goodes thornscrub tortoise), 91 nucleotides long. RefSeq lists it as uncharacterized. The record is from RefSeq and is a predicted model, not a curated record. NCBI's taxonomy places the organism in Eukaryota, Metazoa, Chordata, Testudines, Testudinidae. The transcript is spliced from 3 exons.